Molecule: ribosomal RNA, 200 nt
Filed under: uncultured bacterium
Lineage: Bacteria
Description: partial 16S ribosomal RNA
Rfam family: Bacterial small subunit ribosomal RNA
Source: RNAcentral
AGAGUUUGAUCCUGGCUCAGGACGAACGCUGGCGGCGUGCUUAACACAUGCAAGUCGAGCGGAAAGGCCCUUCGGGGUACUCGAGCGGCGAACGGGUGAGUAACACGUGAGCAACCUGCCCCUGGCUCUGGGAUAGCUCCGGGAAACCGGGAUUAAUACCGGACAUGACCUGCUGCGGCAUCGCGGCGGGUGGAAAGUUU